UCCUCUGGUGUAAAUGGUUAACACACUUGGCUGCUAACCGAAACGCUGGAGGUUCGAGUCCACCCAGAGGUG
Molecule: transfer RNA, 72 nt
Filed under: Loxodonta africana (African savanna elephant)
Lineage: Eukaryota; Metazoa; Chordata; Mammalia; Proboscidea; Elephantidae
Rfam family: tRNA
About the family: Transfer RNA (tRNA) molecules are approximately 80 nucleotides in length. Their secondary structure includes four short double-helical elements and three loops (D, anti-codon, and T loops).
Source: Rfam by way of RNAcentral